Paramuricea clavata is the source of this 1020-nucleotide non-coding RNA. Lineage: Eukaryota; Metazoa; Cnidaria; Anthozoa; Malacalcyonacea; Plexauridae. The record is from the annotation of a GenBank genome assembly.
AUUUAUCACAUUGAUCACAUUGCCACGCUCAUGCACUCAUCGGUACACAGAAAGCCAUAUCACACAGUACUCAGAACAUGCUUUAAAUGUUCGGACACACUUACGUUGCCACAUCUUUCAAAAUGUUUUGUUCAAACGGUCAAAAAUACAUGUUUUAGCCUAUGGGGCUGUUCGUAUGGAGCCUGGCUCGCUUGGGUAUUGGACAACUUGCAUGUUAGACUAAAUUUUAAUCUAAGUAAAGAGAAGGGAAUCAAACACCACAGCUAAAAAAACAUAAUGAAAUUAGUAAAAUUGCAAAAUUUGGUUGCGAAAUAUUGUAAAGCUUGGAAAAUAUAGCCUUGCGAAGUUCGCAAAUUUUGUAUAUGUUUGUAUUACGUGCGGAAAUUGUUACCAUUUUAGGCUCAAAAAUGGUAACAAUUUCCGCACGUAAUACAAACAUAUACAAAAUAUGCAAACUUCGCAAGGCUAUACUUUCCGUAUUUUACAAACAUUUCGUAACCAAAUUUUGCAAAUUUACUAAUUUUAAUAAGUUCUUUACGGGAAUGUACUUUUUUGCCUAUAGAUCGAAAAUUAUUCUAACAUGCAAGUUGUCUAUUAGCUUGGUUUGAUUUGCAGAAACAGUAUAAAAUUCAUUCAAACGUUCUUAGUUAUGAUCAAGAAAGGGAAAAAAACGUGACAUGAUUCAUCUCGGCAAUCUCGUUUUAACUAGUUCCACGGUGAAUGAGCGUGAGAGGGUUCAAAACUCAAGCUUGUAUUAUCAUAGAUAAGAUAUCUGUGUGUUUUAUACGUCGAAUUUUGGUCGCGUCGAAUGCAAUUAAGACAAUAGAUAAUGAGAUGAUAUACCUCAUUAAGCUUCAUUAUCUAUUGUUUGAAUUGCCUUAGACGCGACCGAAAUUCGACGUAUAAAACGGGUCUCAAUCACCAAAGUCCAACAUGCAAUUUAGACCGUAAACUCGAAUGAAAAUCGCGAUAUACCUUGUACCUGCAUUUGUUGAAUAUUAAAAAGUAUUUUUAUAUUGA